UUACUCCAGUGGUACAUGCACUUGAUUCUGAUUGCACAGGCGUUGGUUCAAAUCCUGGU
RNAcentral lists this transfer RNA (59 nucleotides) under Eutreptiella gymnastica. The record is from RNAcentral. Lineage: Eukaryota; Euglenozoa; Euglenophyceae; Eutreptiales; Eutreptiaceae.